AGCUGUAGUCAGGCGUGAAGGGUUCGAACCUGCAGCAGGUUUGAGUUGAGCGAAAGCGAAACAACGUUCUGGUAACAACGGCCCGAAGGGUGAUAAUCAUCCUGCACGACCCACCG
Molecule: small RNA, 116 nt
Filed under: Enterobacteriaceae bacterium RIT693
Lineage: Bacteria; Pseudomonadati; Pseudomonadota; Gammaproteobacteria; Enterobacterales; Enterobacteriaceae
Description: RtT sRNA
Rfam family: RtT RNA
About the family: This family represents a bacterial cis-regulatory element known as RtT RNA. The exact function of RtT is unknown although it is thought that it may be involved in changing the cellular response in relation to amino acid starvation.
Source: RNAcentral